Molecule: long non-coding RNA, 534 nt
Filed under: Pongo abelii (Sumatran orangutan)
Lineage: Eukaryota; Metazoa; Chordata; Mammalia; Primates; Hominidae
Description: lincRNA
Source: RNAcentral
UCUUGAAAACGGAAAAUAAAAACAGCAGACCUAUGAAGGUCAAAGGGGAAGUUAAGAAAAGCUGUAUCGAUUGUUGAGAUCUGGCGACUUGCUUAAAUUUCAUCAGCCUCACUUCUAUGGACUCUCAGGACAAACUGCAAUAGAGUCGCAUCCAGUUGAGACUUCUCCAAGGGCCGUGGGGUUGACAUCUGUGGUCUCAGGCCUCACGUGUACCAGCUCUCUGCUCUCCUUUGCCUUGGGACGUUCCAUCCCUGGAAGUUUCCCUGCCCACAUCUUUGUAGAGAGUCCAUUCUCCAAGCUUCAGUGUGUCAUCUGUUAGGACUAUGACCCACCUGGUACAUUACCUCAGGGCAUUCAUUUCAGGCUCCUUCUAAGUGGUCAAGGAUCAGAGGGAAACAGACCAUUUUCUAUUGUGACAAAGGGAGAACCCAGGAAAGGGGCAGUGUUUUUCCCCUCACAGGUGAUGGAGUUUGUAUAAAGAAUGCAGUGGAUAAUGGCAGGCUUGUCCUCUGAACAGAUGGUGAUGGUCUUGUU